GACGAACGCUGGCGGCGUGCCUAAUACAUGCAAGUGGAAMGCAUGAUUGAUACCGGAGCUUGCUCCACCAUUAAUCAUGAGUCGCGAACGGGUGAGUAACGCGUAGGUAACCUACCUCAUAGCGGGGGAUAACUAUUGGAAACGAUAGCUAAUACCGCAUAAYAGUAUUUAUCGCAUGGUAAAUACUUGAAAGGAGCAAAUGCUUCACUAUGAGAUGGACCUGCGUUGUAUUAGCUAGUUGGUGGGGUAAUGGCUCACCAAGGCAUCGAUACAUAGCCGACCUGAGAGGGUGAUCGGCCACACUGGGACUGAGACACGGCCCAGACUCCUACGGGAGGCAGCAGUAGGGAAUCUUCGGCAAUGGGGGGAACCCUGACCGAGCAACGCCGCGUGAGUGAAGAAGGUUUUCGGAUCGUAAAGCUCUGUUGUAAGAGAAGAACGUGUGUGAGAGUGGAAAGUUCACACAGUGACGGUAACUUACCAGAAAGGGACGGCUAACUACGUGCCAGCAGCCGCGGUAAUACGUAGGUCCCGAGCGUUGUC
RNAcentral lists this ribosomal RNA (543 nucleotides) under uncultured bacterium. RNAcentral's name for it is "bacterial SSU rRNA". It matches the Rfam family "Bacterial small subunit ribosomal RNA", at positions 28 to 545 of the family's 1533-position model. The record is from RNAcentral.